This 381-nucleotide ribosomal RNA is filed under the name uncultured bacterium. RNAcentral describes it as "bacterial SSU rRNA". It matches the Rfam family "Bacterial small subunit ribosomal RNA", at positions 357 to 759 of the family's 1533-position model. The record is from RNAcentral.
AAGAUUUGCUGGCGAACCUGCGACACGCCGUUGAGGGAAGAAGCCUUCGGGUUGAAACCUCUUUCACUGGAAAGAAGCUCUCUGAAAGAGGGUUGACGGUCCAGGAGAAGAAGCCCGGCUAACUCUGUGCCAGCAGCCGCGGUAAGACAGAGGUGGCGAGCGUUGUUCGGAAUUACUGGGCGUAAAGGGUGUGUAGGUGGUUGGAUAAGUCAGAGGUGAAAGCCCAUAGCUUAAUUAUGGAAGUGCCUUUGAUACUGUCUGGCUAGAGUGCAGGAGAGGAGGGUGGAAUUCCCGGUGUAGAGGUGAAAUUCGUAGAUGGGGGGAGGAACACUAGCGGCGAAGGCGGCCCUCUGGACUGCAACUGACACUGAAACACGAAAG